ACACGACUACAUUAGAUACCCCGGUAGUCCCAGCCCUAAACGAUACUCGCUAGGUGUCGGCCACGGUGCGACCGUUGUCGGUGCCGUAGGGAAGCCGCGAAGCGAGCCACCUGGGAAGUACGGCCGCAAGGCUGAAACUUAAAGGAAUUGGCGGGGGAGCACCACAACGGGUGGAGCUUGCGGUUUAAUUGGAUUCAACGCCGGAAAUCUUACCGGGACCGACAGCAACAUGAAGGCCAGGCUGAAGACUUUGCCGGAUUAGCUG
Molecule: ribosomal RNA, 265 nt
Filed under: uncultured archaeon
Lineage: Archaea
Description: partial 16S ribosomal RNA
Rfam family: Archaeal small subunit ribosomal RNA
Source: RNAcentral